Molecule: ribosomal RNA, 553 nt
Filed under: Ascomycota sp.
Lineage: Eukaryota; Fungi; Ascomycota
Description: eukaryotic LSU rRNA
Rfam family: Eukaryotic large subunit ribosomal RNA
Source: RNAcentral
UCUUUGACCUCGGGAUCAGGUAGGGGAUACCCCGCUGAACUUAAGCAUAUUCAAUAAGCGGAGGAAAAGAAACCAACAGGGAUUGCCCUAGUAAACGGCGAGUGAAGCGGCAACAGCUCAAAUUUGAAAUCUGGCCCCCAUUGGGGGUCCGAGUUGUAAUUUGCAGAGGGUGCUUUGGCAUGGGCGGCGGUCUAAGUUCCUUGGAACAGGACAUCGCAGAGGGUGAGAAUCCCGUAUGUGGGCGCCUGCCUUUGCCGUGUAAAGCCCCUUCGACGAGUCGAGUUGUUUGGGAAUGCAGCUCUAAAUGGGAGGUAAAUUUCUUCUAAAGCUAAAUACCGGCCAGAGACCGAUAGCGCACAAGUAGAGUGAUCGAAAGAUGAAAAGUACUUUGGAAAGAGAGUCAAAUAGCACGGUGAAAUUGUUGAAAGGGAAAGCGCCUUGCAGCCAGAACGUUGCCCGCAGUUGCUUCACCCCGGGCCUCUUUGCCUAGGGGCACUCUUCUGUGGGCAGGCCAGCAUCAGGGUGGGCGGUCGGAUAAAGGCCUCUGUCAAGU